Molecule: long non-coding RNA, 418 nt
Organism: Cebus imitator (Panamanian white-faced capuchin)
Lineage: Eukaryota; Metazoa; Chordata; Mammalia; Primates; Cebidae
Exons: 3
Source: RefSeq, a predicted model, not a curated record
GACAGAACUAUCAGGCAGUGAAGAAGGCAGGACUAAGCAGAGAAAGGGGCUAUUGCAAAGUAAUUGCACCAAAAGCUUCAGGUAAUCCUGCCUCUAGUUCUGCAGCUAUGAUGGAUCUUCAGAGUAGUUCCAAACUUAGGCAAAAGGACCAGGCCUUUGCAUCUUCACAUGACUACAUCUUGUGGUCACUCCUGGAAAGAGAGAAAGUACUCAGUCUUUCACCAUGAGAGACUUUGAAAAAUUUACAACUCAGCCUGGCCAACGUAGUGAAAUCCUGUCUCUACAAAAAAUACAAAAACUUAGCUGGGUGUGAUGACAGACACCUGUAAUCCCAGCUACUCAGGAGGCUGAGGCAGGAAAAUUCCUUGAUCCUAGGAGGUGGAGUUCGCAGUGAGCUGAGAUCGAGAUCACGCCACUA